This 111-nucleotide small nuclear RNA is filed under the name uncultured Symbiodinium. RNAcentral's name for it is "partial Dictyostelium signal recognition particle". The record is from RNAcentral. Lineage: Eukaryota; Dinophyceae; Suessiales; Symbiodiniaceae.
GGCUCGAAUGGUAACGCAGGAGGGCGUAAGGACAAAACCAAGGCCAAGGCUGGCAAGGCCGGAAAGGGCGCAAAGGCGGGCGCCCGCCGCAAGAAGGUCAAGGCAGCGUGA